GCCUUCGUGGUGUCAUGGUCGGCACGCUCGAUGCGUAAUCGAGAGGUCCGUGGUUCGAAUCCCGGCAAGGGCU
This 73-nucleotide transfer RNA is filed under the name Stegodyphus mimosarum. It matches the Rfam family "tRNA". From Rfam's summary of the family: Transfer RNA (tRNA) molecules are approximately 80 nucleotides in length. Their secondary structure includes four short double-helical elements and three loops (D, anti-codon, and T loops). The record is from Rfam by way of RNAcentral. Lineage: Eukaryota; Metazoa; Arthropoda; Arachnida; Araneae; Eresidae.